This 253-nucleotide ribosomal RNA is filed under the name uncultured bacterium. RNAcentral describes it as "partial 16S ribosomal RNA". It matches the Rfam family "Bacterial small subunit ribosomal RNA", at positions 524 to 776 of the family's 1533-position model. The record is from RNAcentral.
UACGAAGGGGGCUAGCGUUGCUCGGAAUCACUGGGCGUAAAGGGCGCGUAGGCGGCGUUUUAAGUUGGGGGUGAAAGCCUGUGGCUCAACCACAGAAUUGCCUUCGAUACUGGGACGCUUGAGUGUGGUAGAGGUUGGUGGAACUGCGAGUGUAGAGGUGAAAUUCGUAGAUAUUCGCAAGAACACCGGUGGCGAAGGCGGCCAACUGGACCAUCACUGACGCUGAGGCGCGAAAGUGUGGGGAGCGAACCGG